This 440-nucleotide ribosomal RNA is filed under the name uncultured bacterium. RNAcentral describes it as "partial 16S ribosomal RNA". It matches the Rfam family "Bacterial small subunit ribosomal RNA", at positions 338 to 795 of the family's 1533-position model. The record is from RNAcentral.
CCUACGGGUGGCAGCAGUGGGGAAUAUUGCACAAUGGGGGAAACCCUGAUGCAGCGACGCCGCGUGAGUGAAGAAGUAUUUCGGUACGUAAAGCUCUAUCAGCAGGGAAGCAAAUGACGGUACCUGACUAAGAAGCCCCGGCUAACUACGUGCCAGCAGCCGCGGUAAUGCGGAGGGGGCAAGCGUUAUCCGGAUUUACUGGGCGUAAGGGGAGGUUAGACAGUGGCGCAAGUCUGGAGUGAAAUCCCAUGGCUUAACCAUGGAACUGCUUUGGAAACUGGGCAGCUAGAGUGCAGGAGAGGUAGGCGGAAUGCCUAGUGUAGCGGUGAAAUGCGUAGAUAUUAGGAGGAACCCCAGUGGCGAAGGCAGCUUGCUGGACUGUAACUGACGUUGAGGCUCGAAAGCGUGGGGAUCGAACAGGAUUAGAUACCCGGGUAGUC